RNAcentral lists this ribosomal RNA (464 nucleotides) under uncultured bacterium. RNAcentral's name for it is "partial 16S ribosomal RNA". It matches the Rfam family "Bacterial small subunit ribosomal RNA", at positions 339 to 795 of the family's 1533-position model. The record is from RNAcentral.
CUACGGGUGGCAGCAGUGGGGAAUAUUGCGCAAUGGGGGAAACCCUGACGCAGUGACGCCACGUGAGUGAUGAAGGUCUUCGGAUCGUAAAGCUCUGUCAGAUGGGAAGAAUAAAAGCAGUGAAAAUAUUGCUGUUUGAUGACGGUACCAUCAGAGGAAGCACCGGCUAACUCCGUGCCAGCAGCCGCGGUAAUACGGAGGGUGCAAGCGUUGUUCGGAAUUACUGGGCGUAAAGUGCGUGUAGGCGGGUAAGUAGGUCAGAUGUGAAAUCCCUUGGCUCAACCAAGGACGUGCAUCUGAACCGCUUGUCUUGAGUGCGACAGAGGAGAGUGGAAUUCCCAGUGUAGAGGUGAAAUUCAUAGAUAUUGGGAAGAACACCAGUGGCGAAGGCGACUCUCUGGGUCGCAACUGACGCUGAGACGCGAAAGCGUGGGGAGCAAACAGGAUUAGAUACCCUCGUAGUC